UGACAAGCUACUAAGUGCGAUCGGUGGAUGCCUUGGCACCAAGAGCCGAUGAAGGACGUUGUAACCUGCGAUAAGCCCUGGGGAGUUGGUAAACGAGCUGUGAUCCGGGGAUGUCCGAAUGGGGAAACCUUGAAUGUCCGGAGUCAUGUCCGGUGACCCUGCCCUGAAUGUAUAGGGGUGUGGGAGGUAACGCGGGGAAGUGAAACAUCUCAGUACCCGUAGGAAGAGAAAACAAUUGUGAUUCCGUGAGUAGUGGCGAGCGAAAGCGGAUGUGGCCAAACCGUGUGUGUGUUCAAGCCGGCAGGUGUUGCAUGUGCGGGGUUGUGGGGGCCUGUGUGAUCCUGCUGCCGUGGGAUCGGCUUGCAUGUGGUGUGAAGUUGAAUCGUCUGGGAAGGCGGACCGUAGUGGGUGAGAGUCCCGUAGACGUGAGUGUCAUGUGUGGUUGUCAGGUUGCCCCAAGUAGCGCGGUACUCGUGGAAUGUCGCGUGAAUCUGGCGGGACCACCCGUUAAGCCUAAAUACUUCUUGGUGACCGAUAGUGUAUCAGUACCGUGAGGGAAUGGUGAAAAGUACCCCGGGAGGGGAGUGAAAUAGUACCUGAAACCGGUCGCAUACAAGCCGUCGGAGCCUUUUUGGGGUGACGGCGUGCCUAUUGAAAAAUGAGCCUGCGAGUUAGUGGUAUGUGGCGAGGUUAACCUGUGUGGGGUAGUCGUAGCGAAAGCGAGUCCGAUAAGGGCGUCAGUCGCAUGCUCUAGACCCGAAGCGGUGUGAUCUAUCCAUGGCCAGGAUGAAGCGUCGGUAAGACGUCGUGGAGGUCCGAACCCACUUCAGUUGAAAAUGGAGGGGAUG
RNAcentral lists this ribosomal RNA (848 nucleotides) under Cutibacterium granulosum. RNAcentral's name for it is "partial 23S ribosomal RNA". It matches the Rfam family "Bacterial large subunit ribosomal RNA", at positions 1 to 806 of the family's 2925-position model. The record is from RNAcentral. Lineage: Bacteria; Bacillati; Actinomycetota; Actinomycetes; Propionibacteriales; Propionibacteriaceae.